AGUGAACGUUGGCGGCGUGGAUUAGGCAUGCAAGUCGAGCGAGAACCGUAGCAAUACGGGGACAGCGGCGAAAGGGACAGUAAUGUGUAGGUACCUACCUCCGGGUUCGGGAUAGCUGCGGGAAACUGCAGGUAAUACCGAAUAACGUCUCCGGACCAAAGGUGUGAUUCCACCUGGAGAGGGGCCUGCAUCCUAUUAGCUUGUUGGCGGGGUAACGGCCCACCAAGGCGACGAUGGGUAGCGGGUGUGAGAGCACGACCCGCGUCAUUGGGACGCGGACACUGCCCAGACACCUACGGGUGGCUGCAGUCGUGAAUCUUCGGCAAUGGGCGCAAGCCUGACCGAGCGACGCCGCGUGCGGGAUGAAGGCCUUCGGGUUGUAAACCGCUGUCGUAGAGGAGGAAAUGCAGGGGGGUUCUCCCCUCUGUUUGACCUAUUCUAGGAGGAAGUACGGGCUAAGUUCGUGCCAGCCGCCGCGGUAA
Molecule: ribosomal RNA, 482 nt
Filed under: uncultured bacterium
Lineage: Bacteria
Description: partial 16S ribosomal RNA
Rfam family: Bacterial small subunit ribosomal RNA
Source: RNAcentral